UCCUAUUCUAUUGUUGUCUGAAGUAAUAUCAAUAAUAUCAUAUAUUUGUGUGUGUGUGUGUGUGUGUGUGUGUGUCUUACAGGUAAAAAACAUGCUCCCAAAGGUUGACAGGGAAAGGGUGGCCAACUUCAUGUGCCACAACAUCCAGACGGCAGACAAAUAUUAUGCCAUGAAUUUAAAUCCAACCCAAGCAAAUGAAACCAGGGCACUCUUUGAGGCUGCACUGAAGGGGGAAGAUAACACAGUCGCCGCAGAGAACCAGCCCUCCACCUCAGGAGAAAGAAAGCAGAAGGUGAGAGAGGAUGCCUCCCUCUCCGACGGGAGCACCACCCCUGAAGAGACCAAGGUGAUGUACCAGGAGUCUGGCACGUCCGCCGGUGACUCGGAAGAGGAGGAAGAGGAUGAAGAUGAGGAACAGAUGGCCAGACAACUUCCAGAGACACCUUCCAAGGUGACCAAUCCUCAGGUGGAGAUGGAACUUACCCCAAAGAGGAAGCGGAGCAUCUGCACACGCCGCAUGGAGGUCGCCAUCAGCCCCAUGCUAGUCUCACCCCUCAAAGUGAGGCUCAAGUCGCCCCCCCACCAGUCCCUCAUUGUCACAUUAAAAGGGAUGCAACAACUAAACUCAAAUAAAGUCAGACUAAAAAAUGCCAUUGCCUCAAGGAGGUUAAAGCUGCAGGAGAAGGUGCAAAAGAGAGGAGGGGACCCCUGAUGCAGCUCGAAGGAAGGGGAGCCGACCAACAACAAGACUUCCUCUUCCAAAUAGUCAUGUAGAUUGUUUUAGACUCUCACAUUUAUACUGUUCUGAUUUUGUUUGGUUUGAUUUUCAAUUUUGGUGUGCUUGUUUACAUUUUAGAAGUGUAAAAUGUGUGUAAUUUAGUCUAACUGUCUGUUCAAUUUUCUAUUUUGGUGUGAUUCUUUAUAAUGUAAAGGUUUGUUCUGUUUUAUUAAAUAACUAGUUUAGUAAUUAUUUGUGUUGUGCUUUCUUUAAGGUUAUAUUCUAACUGUCUGUUCAAUAUUCUAUUUUGGUGU
This 1032-nucleotide long non-coding RNA is filed under the name Oncorhynchus mykiss (rainbow trout). RNAcentral's name for it is "lncRNA (ENSOMYG00000055456.1)". The record is from RNAcentral. Lineage: Eukaryota; Metazoa; Chordata; Actinopteri; Salmoniformes; Salmonidae.